RNAcentral lists this ribosomal RNA (465 nucleotides) under uncultured bacterium. RNAcentral describes it as "bacterial SSU rRNA". It matches the Rfam family "Bacterial small subunit ribosomal RNA", at positions 400 to 861 of the family's 1533-position model. The record is from RNAcentral.
UCUGUGUGAAGAAGCCGUUGCGGGUAUAAAGCACUUUAGUGAGGGAAGAAACAGCUUGGCCACACCAAGCCUUGACGGUACCUCAAGAAUAAGCACCGGCUAACUCUGUGCCAGCAGCCGCGGUAAUACAGAGGGUGCAAGCGUUAAUCGGAUUUACUGGGCGUAAAGGGUGCGUAGGUGGUUGUAUAAGUCGGAUGUGAAAGCCCGGGGCUUAACCUCGGAACUGCAUUCGAUACUGUAUGACUAGAGUUCGGUAGAGGGCGGCGGAAUUUCCGGUGUAGCGGUGAAAUGCGUAGAUAUCGGAAGGAACAUCAAUGGCGAAGGCAGCCGCCUGGGCCUGAACUGACACUGAGGCACGAAAGCGUGGGUAGCAAACAGGAUUAGAUACCCUGGUAGUCCACGCUGUACACGAUGAGAACUUGCACGUUGGUUCGUUUUACGAAUCGGUGUCGAAGCUAACGCGCU